GAUGAAGAACGUAGCGAAAUGCGAUAAGUAGUGUGAAUUGCAGAAUUCAGUGAAUCAUCGAAUCUUUGAACGCACAUUGCGCCCCUUGGUAUUCCAUGGGGCAUGCCUGUUCGAGCGUCAUUUGUACCUUCAAGCUUUGCUUGGUGUUGGGUGUUUGUCUCGCCUUUGCGUGUAGACUCGCCUUAAAAUAAUUGGCAGCCGGCGUAUUGAUUUCGGAGCGCAGUACAUCUCGCGCUUUGCACUCAUUACGACAGCGUCCAAAAGUACAUUUUACACUCUUGACCUCGGAUCAGGUAGGGAUACCCGCUGAACUUAAGCAUAUCAAUAAGCGGAGGA
RNAcentral lists this unclassified non-coding RNA (336 nucleotides) under soil metagenome. RNAcentral's name for it is "partial contains 5.8S ribosomal RNA, internal transcribed spacer 2, and large subunit ribosomal RNA". The stretch from base 1 to 120 matches the Rfam family "5.8S ribosomal RNA", at positions 35 to 154 of the family's 154-position model. The record is from RNAcentral.